AUGCUCACUUCAGCAGUAUAUAUCCUAAAAUUGGAACAAUACAGAGAAGAUUAGCAUGGCUCCUGUGCAAGGAUAACAUGCAAAUUCAUAAAUCACUCCAUAUUUAA
Suncus etruscus (white-toothed pygmy shrew) is the source of this 107-nucleotide small nuclear RNA. The record is from RefSeq and is a predicted model, not a curated record. Lineage: Eukaryota; Metazoa; Chordata; Mammalia; Eulipotyphla; Soricidae.